Molecule: transfer RNA, 72 nt
Filed under: Oreochromis mossambicus (Mozambique tilapia)
Lineage: Eukaryota; Metazoa; Chordata; Actinopteri; Cichliformes; Cichlidae
Description: tRNA-Arg
Rfam family: tRNA
About the family: Transfer RNA (tRNA) molecules are approximately 80 nucleotides in length. Their secondary structure includes four short double-helical elements and three loops (D, anti-codon, and T loops).
Source: RNAcentral
AGGCCGUUAGUUUAAGAAAAACCCUUGAUUUCGGCUCAAGAACUUGUGGUUAAAGUCCACAACCGUCUAAUG